This is a long non-coding RNA of Talpa occidentalis (Iberian mole), 567 nucleotides long. RefSeq lists it as uncharacterized. The record is from RefSeq and is a predicted model, not a curated record. Lineage: Eukaryota; Metazoa; Chordata; Mammalia; Eulipotyphla; Talpidae. The transcript is spliced from 3 exons.
UCUAAGCUGUCAUCCUCCUGCUGCAAUCGUCAUUACAGUACCGCUGGUGACGCCACUCGGCGAGCGCAAGUGGAUAAAUAGAAACGUCUGCCACAGCGAAGAUGAAAGGAGACCCGCAGCUAAUGGCUCGGCAGUGAUGCGCCAGGUGUGGGCCUCACUCGAAUGGGGAGGAGAGUGUGAAAACAGAGAGACACACACACUGGGAGAGGGAGACACCCAAGCAGAGGGAAUGCAAAUGGAAUUCCGCAGAAAGAAAGGAGAGCUUAACGCGCGCAGCGAGUUCCGUAGGGGCUGCGGGACUCGGUGACCUUAUGCAUUCCACAGCCCACCUUGACCUGGAAGUGGCUAAUCCUAGAAGAAAUCGCUUUCUCAUUUGCUCUGGCUCACCUGCACUUCAGCUAAGAAAUCUGAAGCCAAGAAGAUUCAUAUAUAAUAGAACCAGGAUUUGAUCCUGUUUCUCAAGCUUGAAGUCCACACUCACAACGACUUGAGCUAUUUAAAGAGUGUCAGGCAUUAAGUUCUGAGUCUUUCCAAAAAUUUAACUUGUGAUUUUUUUCCCAAGGCUUU